CAGCUACUCGGUAGGCUGAGGCACAAGAAUCGCUUGAACCCAGGAGGCAGAGAUUGCAGUGAGCCAAGAUUGCGCCGCUGCACUCCAGCCUGGGUGACAGAAUGAGACUCCAUCUCGAAAAAAAAAAAAAAAAAAUCUAAACCUGAAGACUUGGUGAACUCCUGCCUUUCCACCACUUAGCAGCCUCUGUGCCUAUGGCCCAUGCCUACCCUCCAGCCCCACAGACCAGCCUGGCUGCUCCACCAUCACCCGCACCAGGUCUAUGUCCUUCCAGCCAUCCUCAAAUGCUGCCAUGCCCCCUUUGCUGCCUCCUGGCCACUGCCUGACAACCACAGAAGCUGUCACCACUUUGUUCCUAAGUUGGAGUUCCUUGCUCUGAAGAAAAUUGGUUCCAACAGGACUUUGUAACAAUGUCAUCACCCAGAGAGAACCACAAUCUGCAUCUCAUUUCCAGCCAGGUUCCACUGCCGA
Molecule: long non-coding RNA, 471 nt
Filed under: Homo sapiens (human)
Lineage: Eukaryota; Metazoa; Chordata; Mammalia; Primates; Hominidae
Description: HSALNT0140637
Source: RNAcentral